This 393-nucleotide ribosomal RNA is filed under the name uncultured bacterium. Its description in RNAcentral is "partial 16S ribosomal RNA". It matches the Rfam family "Bacterial small subunit ribosomal RNA", at positions 523 to 918 of the family's 1533-position model. The record is from RNAcentral.
AUACGGAGGAUGCGAGCGUUAUCCGGAUUUAUUGGGUUUAAAGGGAGCGUAGGUGGGAUAUUAAGUCAGCUGUGAAAGUUUGGGGCUCAACCUUAAAAUUGCAGUUGAUACUGGUUUCCUUGAGUACGGUAUAGGUGGGCGGAAUUCGUGGUGUAGCGGUGAAAUGCUUAGAUAUCACGAAGAACUCCGAUCGCGAAGGCAGCUCACCGGGCCGGAACUGACACUGAUGCUCGAAAGUGCGGGUAUCAAACAGGAUUAGAUACCCUGGUAGUCCGCACAGUAAACGAUGAAUACUCGCUGUUUGCGAUACACUGUUAGCGGCCAAGCGAAAGCGUUAAGUAUUCCACCUGGGGGGUACGCCGGCAACGGUGAAACUCAAAUGAAUUGGCGGGG